AUAAUGACUCUCGGCAACGGAUAUCUCGGCUCUCGCAUCGAUGAAGAACGCAGCGAAAUGCGAUACCUGGUGUGAAUUGCAGAAUCCCGUGAAUCAUCGAGUCUUUGAACGCAAGUUGCGCCCGAGGCCUCCAGCCGAGGGCACGCCUGCCUGGGCGUCACG
Molecule: ribosomal RNA, 162 nt
Filed under: Diplatia grandibractea
Lineage: Eukaryota; Viridiplantae; Streptophyta; Magnoliopsida; Santalales; Loranthaceae
Description: 5.8S ribosomal RNA
Rfam family: 5.8S ribosomal RNA
About the family: 5.8S ribosomal RNA (5.8S rRNA) is a component of the large subunit of the eukaryotic ribosome.
Source: RNAcentral